GGCGGCGUGCUUAACACAUGCAAGUCGAGCGGAAAGGCCCUUCGGGGUACUCGAGCGGCGAACGGGUGAGUAACACGUGAGCAACCUGCCCUAGGCUUUGGGAUAACCCUCGGAAACGGGGGCUAAUACCGGAUAUUCACUUGCAGACGCAUGUUUGUGGGUGGAAAGUUUUUCGGCUUGGGAUGGGCUCGCGGCCUAUCAGCUUGUUGGUGGGGUGAUGGCCUACCAAGGCGACGACGGGUAGCCGGCCUGAGAGGGCGACCGGCCACACUGAGACUGAGACACGGCCCAGACUCCUACGGGAGGCAGCAGUGGGGAAUAUUGCACAAUGGGCGGAAGCCUGAUGCAGCGACGCCGCGUGAGGGAUGACGGCCUUCGGGUUGUAAACCUCUUUCAGCAGGGACGAAGCGCAAGUGACGGUACCUGCAGAAGAAGCGCCGGCCAACUACGUGCCAGCAGCCGCGGUAAUACGUAGGGCGCGAGCGUUGUCCGGAUUUAUUGGGCGUAAAGAGCUCGUAGGCGGCUUGUCGCGUCGACUGUGAAAACCCGCGGCUCAACUGCGGGCCUGCAGUCGAUACGGGCAGGCUAGAGUUCGGUAGGGGAGACUGGAAUUCCUGGUGUAGCGGUGAAAUGCGCAGAUAUCAGGAGGAACACCGGUGGCGAAGGCGGGUCUCUGGGCCGAUACUGACGCUGAGGAGCGAAAGCGUGGGGAGCGAACAGGAUUAGAUACCCUGGUAGUCCACGCUGUAAACGUUGGGCGCUAGGUGUGGGGGGCCUCUCCGGUUCUCUGUGCCGCAGCUAACGCAUUAAGCGCCCCGCCUGGGGAGUACGGCCGC
RNAcentral lists this ribosomal RNA (836 nucleotides) under Verrucosispora sp. IM-2301. RNAcentral describes it as "bacterial SSU rRNA". It matches the Rfam family "Bacterial small subunit ribosomal RNA", at positions 38 to 889 of the family's 1533-position model. The record is from RNAcentral. Lineage: Bacteria; Bacillati; Actinomycetota; Actinomycetes; Micromonosporales; Micromonosporaceae.